CAGAAUAUUUUCCUCUCUGCUCUUCUGCACACUUUUUCCUGUGUAAAUCCUCCACAAUGUCCUUGAUACUAAAAAUCCCUCUGUGUCUAUUUCUGGUGUCGAGAUCCACAGAGUGUUUCAAUCUUGAUCGAGCUCCUUGGAAGACUUUCCCCAGUUCUGUCACUUCAUUUGGGUACAAGGUGAUACAGGUAGAUACAACAAGGUUGCUGGUUAGCGCCCCUUUGAUCAACUACAGUCAGGAUAAAAGAGGAAAGAUUUACAACUGUGAAACUGGAAGUUCCUCAUGCUCUGAAAUUUCCCUUCCAGAGCCAAAUCAUGCAGUAAAUAUGUCUCUUGGACUAUCAAUGGCUAAACAACAAAGUGAUCAAAG
This is a long non-coding RNA of Scleropages formosus (Asian bonytongue), 370 nucleotides long. RefSeq lists it as uncharacterized. The record is from RefSeq and is a predicted model, not a curated record. Lineage: Eukaryota; Metazoa; Chordata; Actinopteri; Osteoglossiformes; Osteoglossidae. The transcript has 4 exons.